Molecule: RNA transcript, 3723 nt
Organism: Ipomoea nil (Japanese morning glory)
Lineage: Eukaryota; Viridiplantae; Streptophyta; Magnoliopsida; Solanales; Convolvulaceae
Gene name: serine/threonine-protein kinase prpf4B-like
Exons: 16
Source: RefSeq, a predicted model, not a curated record
UUUAUACCGAACGCGGAUGUAUCUGAAUUUCGAACCCGAAAGGAAUUUCUCACCCGUUUAGCGAACUCUCUGCAGAGCCAAACCCUAAUUCUUGCAAACCCAAUUCAAUUCCAGCCAACAUGACCAGUGAUUCCAGUGACCCUGCUCGUCGCAAGCACCACCGUUCCUCUCAUUCCGAUGUCGAAACUGACGAGCCUUCGAAGCGUCGUAAGCACGGUCACCACCACCACCACCACCGGCGUCGCCACCAUCGCCACCACGGAAAGAAGCACGAAGAGAUUGAUUCGAAACUCGAAACGGAGGUUAAGGAGGCUGAGGUUGAAACUGAGGGCGGAAAGGAGGUCCUUGGAAGCGGAGCAGUGGGUGUGGCUAUGAGCAGUUCGAAUUUGGGGAUCGAUUAUGAUAUGGAGGAAGGAGAGAUUAUUGAGGACGAUGUUCCACCUACUUCUGCUGCUUAUGAUGUUGCUGAAGAUAUUGAGAACAAGAAAUUGAGCUCGGACAUGGACCAUCAUGAAGCUCAUGCUGAAGGGCCUAAUUUUGGUAUGCCCAUUGAAAAGAAAGUGGAAGAAGCUGACAGAAGUAAGAAUCAUGAGGGGUUGAGUUGGGAAGGAAUUUUUAGUGAAAAAUAUCUUGCCAAUGGGAACUUAGUCGGUGAGCGCCACAAACAUGAGGGAAAAUGUUCUCCUAUUGAAGAAAGUAGGACACAGAAGCAUUACUAUGGUGAUAGAAAUGAUUUAAAGGACAGGAAAAGAUCUUUGACACCUGACAAUGCUGGGAAGAGACGCAAGACUGCCAAGGUUGCAUUACCUCGUGAUGGAUAUGAAGAUGAGGGUCCUUAUGGGAAGGAUUCAAAGUCACCUGAUCGGUCUAGAGGAUUGCCACAAUCUCAAAGCACUUCUGAGGAGGUUUCUAUUUCAGAAGUGUUUCAUAAGCCAGAGGGUGUAUUUUAUAAGGAUAGGAAAUAUAAGGGUGAUAAGGAUUAUGAAAGAGUGACUGGACUCAUCAGAGACUAUUGCCAUGGCAGCCAAGGUUUUUUGAAGGAAAAAGAAAGAGAGCGCAGUUCUAGUCGUAGCAGAUAUAGUAGCCAAGAUGACAGGUUUCAUAGUCAUGAGACUGCUGAAAGGUAUAGGGAAGGAAGCCGAGAGAUUGAUAGGGAUCGAACAAAAAAUAGAGACAGGGAGAGGGGAAGGACACAAGGAAAUGAAGGAGACAGAGUAACUGAGAGAAAUAGGGAAAGGGAGAGGGUAAGGCAAAAGGAAAUGGAAAGAGGUAGAGCUCAUGAGAGGGGGAGGGUAAGGGAAAAGGAAAUAGAAGAAGAUAGAGCUCAUGAGAGGGAGAGGGUAAGGGAAAAGGAAAUAGAAAGAGAUAGAGCUCGUGAGAGAGAGAGGGAGAGGGAAAGGGAUAAUUAUAGGGACAGGCAAUGGGAUAAUGACCGCAAGAGGGAGAGGGAGAGUAGGUGGGAAAGUGAUAGGGAAAGCAGCAGAGGUAGAAGUAGGGACAAAGAGAGGGACAAGGAGACUGAUAGAUACCGCAGGACCAAUAAAUAUGAUGAUCUUGGUAGUAGCUAUGGUGAUCGAGAUAAGUAUAGUGCUUCCAGGCGCAUAAAGGAUGAUGGGACUGGCCACAGAGAGAAGAAAAAUGAUCCAGUAAUAAAGAUUUCUGACCAAAAACUUCAUGAAAUUGAAACUGAUAUAUCUAAAAGAGAUGAGGAUGAACAGGACUAUCAGGAAGAGAUUUCAUUUCAACUUGCUGAACACGAAGAAGAGGAAGAACUAGACAGGAUUAAGGAGGAGAGUAGGAAGCGCAAGCUAGCCAUACUUGAAAAGUAUAAGAAUCUACAGUUGCAUCCUAAAACUCAAUUGGAAGACACUGCUAAGGAGGUAAUUGAGCAUUCUUCUGAGCUUGAAGUUGGUGGAAACCAUAUGCCAGAAGCUGUUGAUGGCAGAGCUGAAGGUGGAGAAAGCCGUUCUGGUGACAAAGUAAUUUCUGUUGGGAAAUCACCUAACCAAGAAGGGUUUGCUACAAAUGAUCAGAAUUCUGGAGCUGGUGGUUUGGGACAGGGCACUCCGAAGAGUGAGAGAUCAAAUGACAUGUUCUGUGAUGACAUAUUUGGAGAAUCACCUGCAGUACAUAAAACUGGUAAAGGAGAUGGUUUGAUGAUUGAGCGUAAUGGCCUGCAUGAUAACUGGGAUGAUGCAGAAGGCUAUUAUAGUUACCGUUUUGGAGAAGUACUUGAUGGCCGAUAUGAAAUUAUUGCUUCACAUGGAAAAGGUGUGUUCUCCACAGUUGUCCGUGCUAGAGAUCUCAAAGCUAAACCUGGUGACCCUGAAGAGGUUGCGAUUAAAAUGAUACGUAAUAAUGACACAAUGUAUAAGGCAGGUAUGGAAGAGUUGGUGAUAUUGAAGAAGUUGGUUGGUGCAGAUCCUGAAGACCGGCGCCACUGUGUUCGUUUUCUUUCUAGCUUCAAGUACCGGAAUCAUCUGUGCUUGGUUUUUGAGUCUCUUCAUAUGAAUCUACGUGAGGUUUUAAAGAAGUUUGGCCGUAAUAUUGGACUAAAACUUACUGCUGUGAGGACAUAUGCAAAACAACUAUUCAUUUCUUUGAAACAUUUAAAGAACUGUGGUGUUCUUCACUCUGAUAUUAAACCAGAUAACAUGCUGGUGAAUGAAGCAAAAAAUGUGCUGAAGCUUUGUGAUUUUGGUAAUGCCAUGUUUGCGGGGAAGAAUGAUAUCACUCCAUACCUUGUGAGCCGUUUUUAUCGUGCUCCAGAGAUAAUUUUGGGCUUGCCCUAUGACCAUCCAAUUGAUAUGUGGUCAGUUGGUUGCUGUAUAUUUGAACUUUACACUGGGAAAGUUCUUUUUCCUGGCCCUACGAACAAUGACAUGCUUCGUCUUCAUAUGGAGUUGAAAGGUCCAUUUCCAAAAAAGAUGCUUCGAAAGGGAGCAUUUACUGACCAACAUUUUGAUCAAGAUCUCAAUUUUUAUGCCACUGAAGAGGACCCUGUUACAAAGAAGGCGAUACGGAAGUUGAUUGUUAAUAUCAGACCAAGAGAUAUUGGUGCAAUAAUUUCAGGUUCUCCUGGUGAGGAUCCGAAGAUGUUAACACAUUUUAAAGAUCUUCUUGACAGAAUUUUUGUGCUAGAUCCAGAUAAGAGACUCACAGUUUCUCAGGCAUUAAGUCAUCCAUUCAUCACGGAGAAGAUAUCUGAUUGGGGAGAGGCCUCUUUCUUGGCAGUUCUUUCGGUGGAAUAUUUUCUGUUUCUAUUGAUAUCUAUCAGGAUUAUGAGGCAACCAUUCAGUGCUUUAGAUGCUUAAAAGGCACACUGGAGAAGAGCAAUGUAUGACAGGAGAUGCUCAGAUGCAGCCUUGAUAUUGUGAAGUGGAGGUAUUGCUCCAUGCUUCUGCAAUUAUAGUAAGUACUCCUAAUGACAUUUCUACUAAAUACUUUCUGAUGAUAAACUGUCUGGUCGUUCAUAUUGCUGCUGUUUAUAGUUAUGAGCAGUAAUGAUGAAGCAUCAUCAUCUGCUUUAUAAAUUUCUUGAAAUCAGGAAUUAGGUAAAGCAAUUAUCAUACUAUUGUUGCAUUAGAAUGUUCUUGUUUCUGUUAUCAUAAUAUCAGCUCUAUUCUAAAUUCUGAUGGAAUGACCUAAAAAUGAGGCCCAUAUUAUUGUGAGGUUUGUAUCCUGAUCAUAUCCAUCUAUCUCGGAGUCAAUGCAUGGUGUUGC